AGUGAACGCUGGCGGUAGGCCUAACACAUGCAAGUCGAACGGCAGCACAGUAAGAGCUUGCUCUUACGGGUGGCGAGUGGCGGAAGGGUGAGGAAUAAACAGGAAUCUACUUUUUCGUGGGGGCUAACGAAGGGAAACUUAUGCUAAUACCGCACACGACAUACGGGUGAAAGCAGGGGAUCUUCGGACCUUGCGCGAUUGAAUGAGCCGAUGUCGGAUUAGCUAGUUGGCGGGGUAAAGGCACACCAAGGCGACGAUCAGUAGCUGGUCUGAGAGGAUGAUCAGCCACACUGGAACUGAGACACGGUCCAGACUCCUACGGGAGGCAGCAGUGGGGAAUAUUGGACAAUGGGCGCAAGCCUGAUCCAGCCAUACCGCGUGUGUGAAGAAGGCCUUCGGGUUGUAAAGCCCUUUUGUUGGGAAAGAAAAGCAGCAGGUUAAUACCCCGCUGUUCUGACGGUACCCAAAGAAUAAGCACCGGCUAACUUCGUG
RNAcentral lists this ribosomal RNA (492 nucleotides) under uncultured bacterium. Its description in RNAcentral is "partial 16S ribosomal RNA". It matches the Rfam family "Bacterial small subunit ribosomal RNA", at positions 29 to 507 of the family's 1533-position model. The record is from RNAcentral.